UGGGGAAUAUUGGGCAAUGGAGGGAACUCUGACCCAGCGACGCCGCGUGCGGGAUGAAGGCCUUCGGGUUGUAAACCGCUUUCAGCAAGGAAGAAGCGAAAGUGACGGUACUUGCAGAAGAAGCACCGGCUAACUAUGUGCCAGCAGCCGCGGUAAUACAUAGGGUGCAAGCGUUGUCCGGAAUUAUUGGGCGUAAAGAGCUCGUAGGUGGUUCGUCACGUCGGAUGUGAAAAUCUGGGGCUUAACCCCAGACCUGCAUUCGAUACGGGCGAGCUAGAGUGUGGUAGGGGAGACUGGAAUUCCUGGUGUAGCGGUGGAAUGCGCAGAUAUCAGGAGGAACACCAAUGGCGAAGGCAGGUCUCUGGGCCAUUACUGACACUGAGGAGCGAAAGCGUGGGGAGCGAACAGGAUUAGAUACCCUGGUAGUCCACGCCGUAAACGGUGGGCACUAGUUGUGGGAACCUUCCACGGUUUCUGCGACGCAGCUAACGCAUUAAGUGCCCCGCCUGGGGAGUACGAUCGCAAGAUUAAAACUCAAAGGAAUUGACGG
This 550-nucleotide ribosomal RNA is filed under the name uncultured bacterium. Its description in RNAcentral is "bacterial SSU rRNA". It matches the Rfam family "Bacterial small subunit ribosomal RNA", at positions 355 to 916 of the family's 1533-position model. The record is from RNAcentral.